AACCAUUCCGGGGCGGAUUGGAGCUUGUUUUCGGAUGAGCUUUGUAGGAGAUUUUCAGAAACUAUUGAGGAAGAAUCCCAAAAUAAUGAUGGUUCAAGAAUUUUGUUGGAUGAUCAUGAAAAUGGGAUAGGAAAAAAUGUAAAACUGAUGGAGCCCAGAAGUUUGAAUGAGAUUAAGGAAGAAAGUCAAGAGGGAUUUAGUAUGGUGAAGGUUCUUGAUCGAGAUGUUGAGAGACAAGUGAUUGUAAAGAAACUAGAUAAGGAAGUAAAGAGUGCUUGUUCAACUAA
RNAcentral lists this long non-coding RNA (287 nucleotides) under Olea europaea (common olive). RNAcentral's name for it is "long non-coding RNA (OEUR_LNC012273)". The record is from RNAcentral. Lineage: Eukaryota; Viridiplantae; Streptophyta; Magnoliopsida; Lamiales; Oleaceae.